CUUGUGACCAUUUCCUGGAAACCCAGAGGUGGACCUGGCCAGAGCCCAUCAACCUGGAACACUAUCCUAUGCUGGCCUUGGUUAAAAUGAGUUGUCUGUUCAAGGGCUGGACCUUCAGGGUAGUCAGGAUGAGACCCAUGACCUCCGCCUAGGCCACCAGCUUCUCCAUCACCUACACCUAAAGAGGAAGCACAGGGAAGAGGUUUCCUGAUUUGGCAAAAGCAGACCUUGGAAGCAAUCUACAUGCAAGGAAGUGAAAUGUAUCCAAGCAGAUAUUUUAAGGUUGACCUGUGGUCACUUCCCAUGUGGAAACUGAACAGUA
Cricetulus griseus (Chinese hamster) is the source of this 322-nucleotide non-coding RNA. Lineage: Eukaryota; Metazoa; Chordata; Mammalia; Rodentia; Cricetidae. The record is from RefSeq and is a predicted model, not a curated record.